This 861-nucleotide ribosomal RNA is filed under the name uncultured bacterium. RNAcentral's name for it is "bacterial SSU rRNA". It matches the Rfam family "Bacterial small subunit ribosomal RNA", at positions 51 to 902 of the family's 1533-position model. The record is from RNAcentral.
ACACAUGCAAGUCGAACGGAGUUAUGAUGUGAGCGGGAAGUGCUUGCACUAAACAAUCUUUUCAUAACUUAGUGGCGGACGGGUGAGUAACGCGUGGGUAACCUGCCCUGUACUGGGGGACAACAGUUGGAAACGACUGCUAAUACCGCAUAAGCGCACGGGAUCGCAUGAUCGUGUGUGAAAAACUCCGGUGGUACAGGAUGGACCCGCGUCUGAUUAGCUGGUUGGUGAGGUAACGGCCCACCAAGGCAACGAUCAGUAGCCGGCCUGAGAGGGUGAACGGCCACAUUGGGACUGAGACACGGCCCAAACUCCUACGGGAGGCAGCAGUGGGGAAUAUUGCACAAUGGGGGAAACCCUGAUGCAGCGACGCCGCGUGAGUGAAGAAGUAUUUCGGUAUGUAAAGCUCUAUCAGCAGGGAAGAAAAUGACGGUACCUGACUAAGAAGCCCCGGCUAACUACGUGCCAGCAGCCGCGGUAAUACGUAGGGGGCAAGCGUUAUCCGGAUUUACUGGGUGUAAAGGGAGCGUAGACGGCAUGGCAAGUCUGAAGUGAAAUGCGGGGGCUCAACCCCUGAACUGCUUUGGAAACUGUCAGGCUGGAGUGCAGGAGAGGUAAGUGGAAUUCCUAGUGUAGCGGUGAAAUGCGUAGAUAUUAGGAGGAACACCAGUGGCGAAGGCGGCUUACUGGACUGUAACUGACGUUGAGGCUCGAAAGCGUGGGGAGCAAACAGGAUUAGAUACCCUGGUAGUCCACGCCGUAAACGAUGAUUACUAGGUGUUGGGGAUUUAUAAAUCCCCGGUGCCGUCGCAAACGCAAUAAGUAAUCCACCUGGGGAGUACGUUCGCAAGAAUGAAACCC